CUGCUCAAUGAAAAAUUUUAAAUAGCUGCAGUAUAUAUAACUGUACAAAGGUAGCAUAAUAAAUAGUUUUUUAAUUGAAAACUUAAAUGAAAGAUUAAAUGAAAUAUAAAUUUUAUUAAAAAAACAAAUUUAACUUAGAUUUAAAUUUAAAAUAAUUAAAUAAUAAUAUAGACGAGAAGACCCUAUAGAAUUUUUUAUUUUAAAAUAAACUUUAAUUUUAAAAUAUUUUCUUGGGGAAAUAUAAAAAUUUAUAGAAUUUUUUAAAAUAUAAUAACAUAUAAUUGAAUUUAAUAACUUUUUUUUUAAUAAAUAUAUAUAUUUACCUUAGGGAUAACAGUAUAAUUUUUUUUUAAAGAACUUAUUAUAAAUAAAUUAUAUAACCUCGAUGUUGAAUUAAGAU
Molecule: ribosomal RNA, 400 nt
Filed under: Paroligoneurus sp.
Lineage: Eukaryota; Metazoa; Arthropoda; Insecta; Hymenoptera; Braconidae
Description: partial 16S ribosomal RNA
Source: RNAcentral